RNAcentral lists this long non-coding RNA (508 nucleotides) under Equus asinus (donkey). RNAcentral describes it as "lncRNA (ENSEASG00005035441.1)". The record is from RNAcentral. Lineage: Eukaryota; Metazoa; Chordata; Mammalia; Perissodactyla; Equidae.
CCGGUGGGCCAGGGGCCAGACCCUGACCUGAGAAGAGGAGGAGCCUGAAUCCUGCUGCUGCCGAGAAGUUGAAAACAAAGCCAGAAGAGGUCCAUCUUCUGACCUUGAAAGUACUCCUUCCUAAGGACCCAGAAGGCCAGGUUUGAGGUCGGAGUCAUCAGAGUCCUUGGAGUUCUGCACGGGAAUGUGGCAGCGCAGGGAGAGCUGGUCUGGCACUCACACCUCCCCCCGCCCUGUCUUCCCACCUCAGCUCUGACCUGCACCUUGAGAGGCCUCAGGAGCAUGCCAGUGGGCUCUUCAGCUCACACGUUCCAGUUCCAACCACAGCCUCCCCUUGGCCGCCCUUAUGGCUAAAGGGUCCUGAGCCGUGAGGCAGAGAGGGCCGUGCCUGGCUGGCUGGAGCUUCUGGAAGCUCAUUUGGUCACUGACUGUGGUGAGGGUAUCGGCUCUUCCAGACGUGAGGUAGAGGAAAGAUAAUCUCCCAAGAACUGGGCCGGGUCGGGGCUCA